UCCCCUCUAAGUCUUUUUUGUAAAUCCCAUUCAUCUGUUGCUCAGUGCUGGGUAUAUACUGGUGGCCCAGACAGACCUAACCCCUUACUUCAAAGUAACAGACACUGAGUAAUGAAUGACGCAGUUUAUCACGAUCCUUUGGCAUCCACUAAUAAUUUUUGAUAAAUCUAGAGUAUAAAAUAUUCUUGGUGACUGGGUCCACUUGGCUUUCUGGACGCCUGACCAACACUGUGGGUGGCAUAGUCCAUAGACUGUAGGUUCAAAAAUAAUCUUACAGGAUUACUUUGGAGAUCAUAUGAGGUACCUAAUGUAAAAGUGCUUUGUAAACUUUAAAGCAUCAUUUCUUUCUUCCAGAGCACCUAGUAUAUAAUGUGAAUGUUAGAGGAAACACAGGAUUAAAGUCUAUUCAUAUACUCAGCAACGCCCCACUCUACUGGUACCAAUUAACUGUAUUAGUCCAUUUUCAUGCUGCUGAUAAAGACAUACCCGAGACUGGGAUUUUUAUUUGGAUUGUGUUGAAUCUACAGAACAAUUUGAGAAAAACUGCCAUCUAAAUAAUAAUAGGUCUUCUAGUUCAUAACUACUGUACAUCACUCUCCAUAUUUAGGUCUUUAAUUUCUACCAGCAACAUUUGAUAGUUUUCAGUGAAGAGGUGUUGCAUGUUUGUUGUUAAAUUUAUUCCCAAGUAUUCCACGUUU
This 698-nucleotide long non-coding RNA is filed under the name Homo sapiens (human). RNAcentral describes it as "non-protein coding lnc-USP35-11:1". Lineage: Eukaryota; Metazoa; Chordata; Mammalia; Primates; Hominidae. The record is from RNAcentral.